UGGGGAAUUUUGGACAAUGGGCGAAAGCCUGAUCCAGCAAUGCCGCGUGUGUGAAGAAGGCCUUCGGGUUGUAAAGCACUUUUGUCCGGAAAGAAAUCCUUGGCUCUAAUACAGUCGGGGGAUGACGGUACCGGAAGAAUAAGCACCGGCUAACUACGUGCCAGCAGCCGCGGUAAUACGUAGGGUGCAAGCGUUAAUCGGAAUUACUGGGCGUAAAGCGUGCGCAGGCGGUUUGCUAAGACCGAUGUGAAAUCCCCGGGCUCAACCUGGGAACUGCAUUGGUGACUGGCAGGCUAGAGUAUGGCAGAGGGGGGUAGAAUUCCACGUGUAGCAGUGAAAUGCGUAGAGAUGUGGAGGAAUACCGAUGGCGAAGGCAGCCCCCUGGGCCAAUACUGACGCUCAUGCACGAAAGCGUGGGGAGCAAACAGGAUUAGAUACCCUGGUAGUCCACGCCCUAAAACGAUGUCAACUAGUUGUUGGGGAUUCAUUUCCUUAGUAACGUAGCUAACGCGUGAAGUUGACCGCCUGGGGAGUACGGUCGCAAGAUUAAAACUUAAAUGAAUUGACGGGGUCAUAGCUGUUU
Molecule: ribosomal RNA, 583 nt
Filed under: uncultured bacterium
Lineage: Bacteria
Description: partial 16S ribosomal RNA
Rfam family: Bacterial small subunit ribosomal RNA
Source: RNAcentral